This is a non-coding RNA of Pelobates cultripes (western spadefoot toad), 362 nucleotides long. The record is from the annotation of a GenBank genome assembly. NCBI's taxonomy places the organism in Eukaryota, Metazoa, Chordata, Amphibia, Anura, Pelobatidae.
GUUUGGGAUCGCUAUCGGCAGGGUACGGAAGAGGUAUAAGAUGUGUGGCAUAAUCAUCAUCUUAAUAGUGUUUAUGCGACCCAGCCAAGAAAAUCCUUUAUCGUCCCAUUGUUUGAGUUGGAGAUCUAGUUUCUGUAAAAGUGGGAUAUGAUUCACUUUUGUUACUAAUGUGGGUGUGGCAGGUAAUUGAAUACCUAGAUACGAGAUCGAUGAUUUACGCCAGUCGAAUGGAUAUUCGGAUUUAAGGGUUUGUAGUGUGUGGUGUGGCAGGCGGAUUGCUAGGGCUUGUGAUUUUUUUCGCAUUAUUCCUAUAAUAUGACACCUUGCCAUAUCUGUCCAAAAGUGCCAGUAAAUUGGGGAGG